Molecule: ribosomal RNA, 247 nt
Filed under: uncultured Actinomycetes bacterium
Lineage: Bacteria; Bacillati; Actinomycetota; Actinomycetes
Description: uncultured actinobacterium partial 16S ribosomal RNA
Rfam family: Bacterial small subunit ribosomal RNA
Source: RNAcentral
GACGAACGCUGGCGGCGUGCUUAACACAUGCAAGUCGAGCGGUAAGGCCCUUUCGGGGGUACACGAGCGGCGAACGGGUGAGUAACACGUGGGUGACCUGCCCUCAGCUCUGGGAUAAGCCUGGGAAACCGGGUCUAAUACUGGAUAUGACUCCAUGACGCAUGUUGUGGGGUGGAAAGCCUUGUGCGGCUGAGGAUGGGCCCGCGGCCUAUCAGCUUGUUGGUGGGGUAAAGGCUCACCAAGGCGA